Molecule: ribosomal RNA, 722 nt
Filed under: Escherichia coli
Lineage: Bacteria; Pseudomonadati; Pseudomonadota; Gammaproteobacteria; Enterobacterales; Enterobacteriaceae
Description: partial 23S ribosomal RNA
Rfam family: Bacterial large subunit ribosomal RNA
Source: RNAcentral
AAUGGGUCAGCGACUUAUAUUCUGUAGCAAGGUUAACCGAAUAGGGGAGCCGAAGGGAAACCGAGUCUUAACUGGGCGUUAAGUUGCAGGGUAUAGACCCGAAACCCGGUGAUCUAGCCAUGGGCAGGUUGAAGGUUGGGUAACACUAACUGGAGGACCGAACCGACUAAUGUUGAAAAAUUAGCGGAUGACUUGUGGCUGGGGGUGAAAGGCCAAUCAAACCGGGAGAUAGCUGGUUCUCCCCGAAAGCUAUUUAGGUAGCGCCUCGUGAAUUCAUCUCCGGGGGUAGAGCACUGUUUCGGCAAGGGGGUCAUCCCGACUUACCAACCCGAUGCAAACUGCGAAUACCGGAGAAUGUUAUCACGGGAGACACACGGCGGGUGCUAACGUCCGUCGUGAAGAGGGAAACAACCCAGACCGCCAGCUAAGGUCCCAAAGUCAUGGUUAAGUGGGAAACGAUGUGGGAAGGCCCAGACAGCCAGGAUGUUGGCUUAGAAGCAGCCAUCAUUUAAAGAAAGCGUAAUAGCUCACUGGUCGAGUCGGCCUGCGCGGAAGAUGUAACGGGGCUAAACCAUGCACCGAAGCUGCGGCAGCGACACUGUGUGUUGUUGGGUAGGGGAGCGUUCUGUAAGCCUGCGAAGGUGUGCUGUGAGGCAUGCUGGAGGUAUCAGAAGUGCGAAUGCUGACAUAAGUAACGAUAAAGCGGGUGAAAAGCCCGCUCG